CAGCCGCCGCGGUAAUACGUAUGUCACAAGCGUUAUCCGGAUUUAUUGGGCGUAAAGCGCGUCUAGGUGGUUAUGUAAGUCUGAUGUGAAAAUGCAGGGCUCAACUCUGUAUUGCGUUGGAAACUGUGUAGCUAGAGUACUGGAGAGGUAAGCGGAACUACAAGUGUAGAGGUGAAAUUCGUAGAUAUUUGUAGGAAUGCCGAUGGGGAAGCCAGCUUACUGGACAGAUACUGACGCUAAAGCGCGAAAGCGUGGGUAGCAAACAGGAUUAGAUACCCCAGUAGUCCCUGUCUCUUAUACA
This 301-nucleotide ribosomal RNA is filed under the name uncultured bacterium. RNAcentral's name for it is "partial 16S ribosomal RNA". It matches the Rfam family "Bacterial small subunit ribosomal RNA", at positions 509 to 808 of the family's 1533-position model. The record is from RNAcentral.